This 1203-nucleotide long non-coding RNA is filed under the name Lepidothrix coronata (blue-crowned manakin). RNAcentral's name for it is "lncRNA (ENSLCOG00000002919.1)". Lineage: Eukaryota; Metazoa; Chordata; Aves; Passeriformes; Pipridae. The record is from RNAcentral.
CAGCCCCUCACCUGCCGCCGCGGCCGCCUCUUCUGCUCCGACGCCUGCAGCCUGCGCCAGGGCUCGUCCUCCUCCUCCAGCGCCUCCGACUCCUCCGACUCGGCCUUUGCUUCAGCUCCGUCCCCGGACUCGACGCCCCUGUCCCGAGCUGGCCCGGCCAGCAGGACCACGCCGGGGUCCGGUGGCCCCUCGGCUCCAGGGGGCUGCAGGCAGCGCGUGGAAGGGGCUGAGGCGCUUUUGGAUCAGGCCCCUGUGCAUCCUGCGUUCAGGAGCCCAGAGGACCACGGAGCAGCUGCCAAGGAGCGGAGCAGCGAUGCUGUGCACGCAGGACCACCAGCCACCCACCCCUCCGCCCCCCAGCCCAGCCCAGAGGGGCCCAACGAGCCUGGAGCCUUGGGCCACCCACAUUUGGGGGGCCCUGACCCCCGAACACCCAUGGGCCAUGGAAACCCCCCCUCCCGAGCGGGCACGUCCCCCCCCCGGCACAGCCCCCGGCCGGAGCACAUCGACCUGCAGGACAUCACGGAGGAGGAGGACUCCUGGUGUCCCACCUGCUCCUCAUCUUCGGACUCGGACUCGGAGGAAGAGGGUUUCUUUUUUGGGAAGCCCAUCCCCAAGCCCGGGAUGAAUUCCCUGGGCAGGGAGCCCCCGGGGAAGGCUGGGGGCAGGACGGCCAAGCCCCGGGGCAGCAGCAAACACUGCAGUGUGUCCUAGCAGUGGGGACACGGGGUCCCUGACGUCCUGCCAGCCCCUGCUGGGUGCUGCCACGGUCUCAACAUGUUCCAAGUGCGUUUUGGACGUGGCCCAAGGCUGGUGGGAGAAGCUGCUGGGAUCCUUCCCCCCCGGCAGCUGCUGGCAAAGCACAGCCUGCAAUUCCUGCCGGCCUCUCCCGCAAUUAGGAACAGGUAAAGCAGGAAGGGAGCAGAGCUCACCUGGGCUCCAGCACCUCAGACAUGGCAGCAGCUCCAGGGAGAGCAGCCGGUGCUCCUGACAAGGGCAGCUGCCUGCACCAGACCUCUGGGCCAGGGUCGGAUCCUUUGGAUCCUUCCCUGGGACUCCUCCUUGCAGGAUGAGCACCACUGCCACGUGCUCUCCAUCUCUGGUGCCACCACGUCCUGGUGGCACCGCGGGGAGGGACCAGGGGGGCAGCUCUGCUGCUGCCAGUGACAAAGCUCCAAUAAAGUUUGGCUGAAAUCUGAACGC